RNAcentral lists this transfer RNA (75 nucleotides) under Candidatus Woesearchaeota archaeon. RNAcentral's name for it is "tRNA-Gly". It matches the Rfam family "tRNA". From Rfam's summary of the family: Transfer RNA (tRNA) molecules are approximately 80 nucleotides in length. Their secondary structure includes four short double-helical elements and three loops (D, anti-codon, and T loops). Further hydrogen bonds mediate the characteristic L-shaped molecular structure. tRNAs have two regions of fundamental functional importance: the anti-codon, which is responsible for specific mRNA codon recognition, and the 3' end, to which the tRNAs corresponding amino acid is attached (by aminoacyl-tRNA synthetases). tRNAs cope with the degeneracy of the genetic code in two manners: having more than one tRNA (with a specific anti-codon) for a particular amino acid; and 'wobble' base-pairing, i.e. permitting non-standard base-pairing at the 3rd anti-codon position. The record is from RNAcentral. Lineage: Archaea; Nanobdellati; Candidatus Woesearchaeota.
GCGACGGUAGUAUAAUCUGGUUCAGUACUGUACGUUGCCAACGUAUAAAUUCGGGUUCAAAUCCCGACCGUCGCA